RNAcentral lists this ribosomal RNA (425 nucleotides) under uncultured bacterium. RNAcentral's name for it is "partial 16S ribosomal RNA". It matches the Rfam family "Bacterial small subunit ribosomal RNA", at positions 354 to 796 of the family's 1533-position model. The record is from RNAcentral.
GUGGGGAAUCUUGCGCAAUGGGCGAAAGCCUGACGCAGCCAUGCCGCGUGAAUGAUGAAGGUCUUAGGAUUGUAAAAUUCUUUCACCGGGGACGAUAAUGACGGUACCCGGAGAAGAAGCUCCGGCUAACUUCGUGCCAGCAGCCGCGGUAAUACGAAGGGGGCUAGCGUUGCUCGGAAUUACUGGGCGUAAAGGGCGCGUAGGCGGACAGUUUAGUCAGAGGUGAAAGCCCAGGGCUCAACCUUGGAAUUGCCUUUGAUACUGGCUGUCUUGAGUUUGGGAGAGGUGAGUGGAACUCCGAGUGUAGAGGUGAAAUUCGUAGAUAUUCGGAAGAACACCAGUGGCGAAGGCGACUCACUGGCCCAAUACUGACGCUGAGGCGCGAAAGCGUGGGGAGCAAACAGGAUUAGAUACCCCGGUAGUCC